GGCCAGUGCAUUGCAGGCAACACAAGGCACUUCCUUAAGUGAUCCAGUUCUGCCUGGAGUCGCUCCCUCUCGGAAACAAUCUUCUGUUUCUGGCUCCUCAACUCCUGGAGAGAGAGAUUGAUUCAGAUACUGGGCCUGCUUUUCACAGGAGUGGCUUCAAACUUGCAAGGGUCAAGGACAAGUCCCUGCUUUUCUAGGAAGCGUUUUGAGAAUGGAGACCCGGGAGAGCAAGCGGACAGCCUACAGAAGGGACAGCGCAAGGAGGGGCACUAAAAGAGCCUCCUGCCCCCUCAGCACACAGACUGAAGUUGUUAAAAGCGCUACCGAAUGCAGCCCUGAACAAGCAACAUCAGAAAACACGAAAGCUGACCUCUCCACCGGAAACACGAACUCUGACAAGUCCUCUGCGGCCAACUCGGCAGGAAUGAGGACCUCUAUUUGGUCCCCAAGGUUCAUAAACCAGAGAAGCGGCUCUCUGUCACUGCCACUCUCUGUUCAAGAGCCCAGAGCUCAAGGAGAGAACUAAACUAUCACAGAAGGUCUGACCAGCUAGGACUACCUGAGGAAUAGGGGACAACAAAAACUGAAAAA
Long non-coding RNA from Acinonyx jubatus (cheetah), 591 nucleotides. RefSeq lists it as uncharacterized. NCBI's taxonomy places the organism in Eukaryota, Metazoa, Chordata, Mammalia, Carnivora, Felidae. The transcript is spliced from 2 exons. The record is from RefSeq and is a predicted model, not a curated record.